Musa acuminata AAA Group (dessert banana) is the source of this 1055-nucleotide long non-coding RNA. RefSeq lists it as uncharacterized. The record is from RefSeq and is a predicted model, not a curated record. The transcript has 2 exons. NCBI's taxonomy places the organism in Eukaryota, Viridiplantae, Streptophyta, Magnoliopsida, Zingiberales, Musaceae.
UCUUCUCUGCAGACGGGCCCGACAACGUCACAGAUUAGCGCGGUUAUCACUCCCGCCCUCUCCUCCUCCGACCGUUUUACGAUUAGGGUUGCGCUACCCGCUCUCCCUGUCUCUCGCCUUCCGCCAUUGAUGGUGGCCACUCACCAACCCGCUUCGCUGCUUCUUCCCUUCGCCAGAGCUGUAGCACCCCAUGAAGUUUCAUCGAAUAGCCUGGCCGAUCUCUAGCUUUCCACGCUGCUGGUCGGUCUCUAUUCGUAGUUGUCGAUCAGUAGCCAAGGACCGCUCCUGAUGGACCCGUGGAGUCAAGCGACGCCGAGGAGUCUGUCACGAGGAGCAGAGGCUCUCUCGGUCUAAAUGCGUGGAAGAGGGCGAAGGAAGAGCCGGAUCUGCAGACGCUCGGCGAACCAAAUCAACCCGUUCUGAAGGUCAAAUGUUGGCCCAUGCUAGCCGGCGUAGGGACAUGAGAACUGGCACAAACGGUCUUGUACAGUGCCAAAAAAGGCGUUUCUCUCAUGACUAAGAGAGGUUGUUUAGACGAAGAUUUGAAGAUGAUUGCUGAAUUUCUUCUAAAGUCCGCUGAAAUAGCAAGUUUUGCACCGAGGUUGUAUGGGAAGUUACGGGAGUUUCCUGAGGACCUUGAGAACAAUAUGUUUGAGUCCUUUUCAUCACAGUUUGCAAUGCCAGGAUUUGUUAUACAGUAAUCAAAGGCAGUUUGUCGAUGAUACUGAUUAUCUUAUAUGUUUAUGAAAUCAUCUUAUUGGUUUCAGCUCUGUGACUAAUGUUACAACUUUUGCAGGCCGUUGACCGGGCAAGGUUAAGAACUUUGAUGAUCGAAUUUUAUCAAUCGGGAAUAGUUUUAAAUAAAACAGUGUUUGAAUUUGCGACACUCCAAUCUCUCUGUUUGUUGAUCACCACACUUGUGUUCAAGCAUUUGUCCUGGCAGUUAAAAUUGAUUGAUUGUAAAGUGUGUAGUUCAGAAUUUUAUCAAUCGAGAAUAGUUUUAAAUAAAACAGUGUAUGAAUUUGUGAUGCUCCAAUCUCUCUGUUUGUUGAUCA